GGAAAAAGCUUGCUUCUUUGCUGACGAGUGGCGGACGGGUGAGUAAUGUCUGGGAAACUGCCUGAUGGAGGGGGAUAACUACUGGAAACGGUAGCUAAUACCGCAUAACGUCGCAAGACCAAAGAGGGGGACCUUCGGGCCUCUUGCCAUCGGAUGUGCCCAGAUGGGAUUAGCUUGUAGGUGGGGUAACGGCUCACCUAGGCGACGAUCCCUAGCUGGUCUGAGAGGAUGACCAGCCACACUGGAACUGAGACACGGUCCAGACUCCUACGGGAGGCAGCAGUGGGGAAUAUUGCACAAUGGGCGCAAGCCUGAUGCAGCCAUGCCGCGUGUAUGAAGAAGGCCUUCGGGUUGUAAAGUACUUUCAGCGGGGAGGAAGGGAGUAAAGUUAAUACCUUUGCUCAUUGACGUUACCCGCAGAAGAAGCACCGGCUAACUCCGUGCCAGCAGCCGCGGUAAUACGGAGGGUGCAAGCGUUAAUCGGAAUUACUGGGCGUAAAGCGCACGCAGGCGGUUUGUUAAGUCAGAUGUGAAAUCCCCGGGCUCAACCUGGGAACUGCAUCUGAUACUGGCAAGCUUGAGUCUCGUAGAGGGGGGUAGAAUUCCAGGUGUAGCGGUGAAAUGCGUAGAGAUCUGGAGGAAUACCGGUGGCGAAGGCGGCCCCCUGGACGAAGACUGACGCUCAGGUGCGAAAGCGUGGGGAGCAAACAGGAUUAGAUACCCUGGUAGUCCACGCCGUAAACGAUGUCGACUUGGAGGUUGUGCCCUUGAGGCGUGGCUUCCGGAGCUAACGCGUUAAGUCGACCGCCUGGGGAUUACGGCCCCAAGGUUAAAACUCAAAUGAAUUGACGGGGGCCCGCACAAGCGGUGGAGCAUGUGGUUUAAUUCGAUGCAACGCGAAGAACCUUACCUGGUCUUGACAUCCACGGAAGUUUUCAGAGAUGAGAAUGUGCCUUCGGGAACCGUGAGACAGGUGCUGCAUGGCUGUCGUCAGCUCGUGUUGUGAAAUGUUGGGUUAAGUCCCGCAACGAGCGCAACCCUUAUCCUUUGUUGCCAGCGGUCCGGCCGGGAACUCAAAGGAGACUGCCAGUGAUAAACUGGAGGAAGGUGGGGAUGACGUCAAGUCCUCAUGGCCCUUACGACCAGGGCUACACACGUGCUACAAUGGCGCAUACAAAGAGAAGCGACCUCGCGAGAGCAAGCGGACCUCAUAAAGUGCGUCGUAGUCCGGAUUGGAGUCUGCAACUCGACUCCAUGAAGUCGGAAUCGCUAGUAAUCGUGGAUCAGAAUGCCACGGUGAAUACGUUCCCGGGCCUUGUACACACCGCCCGUCACACCAUGGGAGUGGGUUGCAAAAGAAGUAGGUAGCUUAACCUUCGGGGGGGGG
Molecule: ribosomal RNA, 1387 nt
Filed under: Escherichia coli
Lineage: Bacteria; Pseudomonadati; Pseudomonadota; Gammaproteobacteria; Enterobacterales; Enterobacteriaceae
Description: bacterial SSU rRNA
Rfam family: Bacterial small subunit ribosomal RNA
Source: RNAcentral